This 918-nucleotide ribosomal RNA is filed under the name Bacteroides fragilis. RNAcentral describes it as "bacterial SSU rRNA". It matches the Rfam family "Bacterial small subunit ribosomal RNA", at positions 129 to 1043 of the family's 1533-position model. The record is from RNAcentral. Lineage: Bacteria; Pseudomonadati; Bacteroidota; Bacteroidia; Bacteroidales; Bacteroidaceae.
CCCUUUACUCGGGGAUAGCCUUUCGAAAGAAAGAUUAAUACCCGAUGGGAUAAUCAUUCCGCAUGGUUUGAUUAUUAAAGGAUUCCGGUAAAGGAUGGGGAUGCGUUCCAUUAGGUUGUUGGUGAGGUAACGGCCCACCAAGCCUUCGAUGGAUAGGGGUUCUGAGAGGAAGGUCCCCCACAUUGGAACUGAGACACGGUCCAAACUCCUACGGGAGGCAGCAGUGAGGAAUAUUGGUCAAUGGGCGCGAGCCUGAACCAGCCAAGUAGCGUGAAGGAUGACUGCCCUAUGGGUUGUAAACUUCUUUUAUAUUAGAAUAAAGUGCAGUAUGUAUACUGUUUUGUAUGUAUAAUAUGAAUAAGGAUCGGCUAACUCCGUGCCAGCAGCCGCGGUAAUACGGAGGAUCCGAGCGUUAUCCGGAUUUAUUGGGUUUAAAGGGAGCGUAGGUGGACUGGUAAGUCAGUUGUGAAAGUUUGCGGCUCAACCGUAAAAUUGCAGUUGAUACUGUCAGUCUUGAGUACAGUAGAGGUGGGCGGAAUUCGUGGUGUAGCGGUGAAAUGCUUAGAUAUCACGAAGAACUCCGAUUGCGAAGGCAGCUCACUGGACUGCAACUGACACUGAUGCUCGAAAGUGUGGGUAUCAAACAGGAUUAGAUACCCUGGUAGUCCACACAGUAAACGAUGAAUACUCGCUGUUUGCGAUAUACAGUAAGCGGGCCAAGCGAAAGCAUUAAGUAUUCCACCUGGGGAGUACGCCGGCAACGGUGAAACUCAAAGGAAUUGACGGGGGGCCUCGCACAAGCGGAGGAACAUGUGGUUUAAUUCGAUGAUACGCGAGGAACCUUACCCGGGCUUAAAUUUGCAGUGGAAAUGAUGUGGAAAACAUGUCAGUGAGCAAUCACUCACUGUGAAGGUGCUG